GACGAACGCUGGCGGCGUGCCUAAUACAUGCAAGUUGAGCGCUGAAGGUUGGUACUUGUACCAACUGGAUGAGCAGCAAACGGGUGAGUAACGCGUGGGGAAUCUGCCUUUGAGCGGGGGACAACAUUUGGAAACGAAUGCUAAUACCGCAUAAAAACUUUAAACACAAGUUUUAAGUUUGAAAGAUGCAAUUGCAUCACUCAAAGAUGAUCCCGCGUUGUAUUAGCUAGUUGGUGAGGUAAAGGCUCACCAAGGCGAUGAUACAUAGCCGACCUGAGAGGGUGAUCGGCCACAUUGGGACUGGGACACGGCCCAAACUCCUACGGGAGGCAGCAGGAGGGAAUCUUCGGCAAUGGACGAAAGUCUGACCGAGCAACGCCGCGUGAGUGAAGAAGGUUUUCGGAUCGUAAAACUCUGUUGGUAGAGAAGAACGUUGGUGAGAGUGGAAAGCUCAUCAAGUGACGGUAACUACACAGAAAGGGACGGCUAACUACGUG
Molecule: ribosomal RNA, 497 nt
Filed under: uncultured bacterium
Lineage: Bacteria
Description: partial 16S ribosomal RNA
Rfam family: Bacterial small subunit ribosomal RNA
Source: RNAcentral